GAUGAACGCUGGCGGCGUGCCUAAUACAUGCAAGUAGAACGCUAAAGGAGGAGCUUGCUCGUCUGGAUGAGUUGCGAACGGGUGAGUAACGCGUAGGUGACCUGCCUUGUAGCGGGGGAUAACUCUGGGAAACGAUAUCUAAUACCGCAUGGCAAGAGGGAUUGGAUGAUAACUUGGUAAGAUUGGCAACUGCGCCACUACCAGGUGGCCUUGCGUUGUGUUAGCUAGUUAGUGGGGUAACGGCUCGUCAAGGCGACGUUACAUAGCAGAACUGAGAGGGUGAUUGGCCACCCUGGGAGUGAGAACCGGCACAGACUCCCACGGGAGGCAGCCGUAGGGCAUCUUCGGCCAGGGAUGGAAGUCUGACCGCGCAACGCCGAGUGAGGGAAGAAGGUUUUCGGGUCGUAAAGCUCGGUUGUAAGAGAAGAACGAGUGUGAGCGUGGAAAGUUCACCCUGUGACGGUACCUUAACAGAAAGGGACGGCUAACUACGUG
This 495-nucleotide ribosomal RNA is filed under the name uncultured bacterium. Its description in RNAcentral is "partial 16S ribosomal RNA". It matches the Rfam family "Bacterial small subunit ribosomal RNA", at positions 28 to 507 of the family's 1533-position model. The record is from RNAcentral.